UUUCGAACUGAAAAUAAAAUUAUAAAAAACUAAAAAAAAAUUAAGUCGGACCAGAACCGACUGAGAGUUUGAUCAACCUAUCCGAUUUCGGUUUAUCCCCUGGACUAGUCUUGAACCACAGCUUCCUGGCUAAAACCGGUGGUCAGGCCAAGUUAUCAUUGAUAUUUAUCGAACUAAAAUUUACUAUUUACUACAGGACUCCAAUAAAAAAGAAUGAGAUUCACGGAAAUGUUCAAAUAAAUGCAAAUUCCACCAGCCCAUGGUUUUGUAAAUCAUGAUGUGAGAUAUGAAGAAAGUAGUUGCAACUGGGUGAACAUGGUCAAAUGGGUGAGUGAUCUGUUGAGGCAAUUGACAACAUGAGACAUGGAAAAAGUAGUGGCAAUUGUUGCAAGUGCAGAUACAUCCAAAGGCUAUGAGCAUGCGAGCAGAACAUGAUCUGAGGACCUGCGUUUUGUGGUUGUUAAUUGGAGAGCUGCUAUAGGUGUGCGUGGCUGGAAUGCUGAAUUGCAGGUUGAGGUUCUGGAAGCUGUAUCUGAUAUAUUACCUGGGCGAGAAUUCACGCAGUAAUUACAAUGGAUUGCUAGGGAUGCAGUGCCUUUGUGUAGAUUCAAGUAAUGUAUGCUUAUGUGCUCAUGUAUGUUUGAGCAUGCAUGUACAUGCUUAUCAAUGGCAUACAACAUAAAUCCAACAUCAUAACAGUCAUUGGUGCUCCUAUCAAAAACUAGGUAGUGAAAUGGCCAAAUUGACUUCAACCAACCAAAGCCUCUGAUAACUCUUCUCCUGUUAAAUUUAAUAGGUAAUUAUAAGGAUUUGCACACAAAACUUUCCUCUUUAACAACAAAAUAAACUAACUUGUAUCGGGUGACAUAAAACUCUCUAGGAAGAUAUGAACAUCUAGAGUACAUUCAUCAUUUCAUCCUCUGCAUUUGUGAGGUGGAAAAGGAAAAGAAGGUUCAAAAUGUUAACUUACAUUCCUGCAGUAUUAGAAAAAAUUUACAAGUGUAAUAUAGCUAUAUUUGGUGGGAUGGAACGUAGAAACAAAGUAAUGGAAUGAGAGAUGCAAUGGAGAUCAUGCUCUUCUUAUGUUGGAUUACGGAAAUGAAAUCAAUGCAAUGAAAUGAUAAUUACCAUCUUUUUUCGUUUAGUUUAUUUGAUGAUGAUGGCAACAAUGGUGGAUUGGUGAGAGUGAAAAAAUAACUUUUGCUGAAUUUUAAUUCUUCAUUUAGAAAAACAGAUGGGGGGUUAAGUCUUGGUGUAUUAUGAUAAGGCUGCUCUUUUGAGAUUAGAUCAAAGUUUUAAGGCACCAAAAGCAACUAAUCUUUUCCUAAUUUGAGUAGGAGAAAUAUUUCUCAACAGGAUGGAGGAAUAUUUCCUAUAAUGAAUAGAACUUUUAUUUUAGUAUUAUUCCUAAAUUGAGUGACUCCUAAUCUGAUGUAGUGUUAUAAUAGUAAAUAUGUUGGGUUAUGUUUAGAGGAGAAUAAGAGGGACUAACUAAUAUAUUUACUAUGAACAGUUUGAUGUACUGUGGGAUCUCUUGAGUGUAAUUAGAUUGAUGGGUAGUAUAGUUAUGAGUUUGUAAUGAUGAUUUAUUUAUUGAUGAUAGUGGAAGAUGACAUGUCUGUAAAUGUAGUCCUAUGUUGAGAGGGUGAACCACGUAAAUAUUAGUAUUUUGUAUGUUUGCUUUAUUUCUUUACAGUUUACACGCUUUUUGCGGUGCACAACAAAUUGAUAUCAGAGCAUGGGGAUGAUCUUGGUGAGUUUGGUUGAAGGUGGAGCUGUUGCUACAUGUAGAAAAUCGCACAUGCAAUAAUGGUGGUGAUAGAGAGUUAAAUUGAGAUGGAGCUCUUGAUACAAAAUCAAGAUAGUUGAUGACGUGAAGAUUUUUUGAAGAAUAAAGCAAGUUACACCCAAGAUAAAGAUUGAAGAGUUGAUGAUUUGAAGGGUUUAAACUCAAACAUGGAGAUUUGAUAAUUUGAUGACACCCAAUAAUUUGAGGUGAGUCGGGACAGCCUUCUUCCUCCGCCCAGCCGCCACAGUGACCGCUGUCAAGUCUGUGAGUAAAAUAUUAAUUUUAAUUGUAAUUUCACUAUUAUUAUAUGUUCAAGCAUGCCCAUGCAUCACUUAUAUGUAUGUAUCUAUGUAGUUAAACUCUAGGCACGUUUUAUGUUGCAUUCAUAACUGUUAAAGUGCCAUGGAUGUUGUUGUGGUAAUUUGGAGCAGUGUGCGUGCGUUGGCGUGUGUGUGAUGUGGUGUUGACUAUGGAUAGGACGGGUAGACACGGCUUGAGAUCUUCGCUGGGACCCCGAUUUGGUUUAUUAAGCGAAAGUCCGGCUUGAGUUCUUCGCUGGCACAGGUUGGAUUUAAGAGAGCUGUAUAGGGGAUCAGCUCCCAUAUAUUAUGAUUGAUAUUAAUGGGUGUGUGAGUGCUCCAAAUUACCUUUUUGAUGUUGUGAUGUGAAAUUAUUGCUGAUGUUGCAUUUCACUCUACAGGGUGCAUUAGUUUUAGAUAGUUAUAGAGAUUAUGGUUAAAAUUGAUAUUUUACUCUUUGAGUCGAACGCUCACUCCUGUUCAAUAUUUUUCCAGGCCACAGGAGGAUAUUUUUGAGGUUAACCUGCUUUUCUCCCUCGCAGGUCGUCUAUUCAUGUUUGUGUAAUUCUAUAAACUUCUAGAAUUUCUACAUAUGUUAGAAGUAUUUAUUAAAUUGGGUCUGUAAUAUAAAUUAUUAUUUUGGACCUGUAAACUUAUUAUUUUAUGCAUGUUGAUGGACUGGAUGAGGGAGUUGAGCUCCUAUUUAUUUUUAUGUUGUUAUGAG
Molecule: long non-coding RNA, 2812 nt
Organism: Hevea brasiliensis (rubber tree)
Lineage: Eukaryota; Viridiplantae; Streptophyta; Magnoliopsida; Malpighiales; Euphorbiaceae
Exons: 3
Source: RefSeq, a predicted model, not a curated record